Molecule: ribosomal RNA, 462 nt
Filed under: uncultured bacterium
Lineage: Bacteria
Description: bacterial SSU rRNA
Rfam family: Bacterial small subunit ribosomal RNA
Source: RNAcentral
CCUACGGGGGGCUGCAGUCGAGAGGCUUCGUCAAUGCCCGAAAGGGUGAACGAGCGACGCCGCGUGCGGGAUGAAGGGCUUCGGCUUGUAAACCGCUUUUGUUUGGGAAGAAUGCCCGAAUCGUGAAUUCGGGAGGGACGGUACCAGACGAAUAAGCCCCGGCUAACUCCGUGCCAGCAGCCGCGGUAAGACGGAGGGGGCAAGCGUUGUUCGGAAUUAUUGGGCGUAAAGGGCGCGUAGGCGGAUUGGCAAGUCUGACGUGAAAUCUCCACCACUCAACGGGGAGAGGUCGUUGGAUACUACCGAUCUGGAGUUUGGUAGAGGGUCGUGGAAUUCCAGGUGUAGCGGUGGAAUGCGUAGAUAUCUGGAAGAACACCGGUGGCGAAGGCGGCGACCUGGGCCAAAACUGACGCUGAGGCGCGAAAGCUAGGGGAGCAAACGGGAUUAGAUACCCUAGUAGUC